RNAcentral lists this unclassified non-coding RNA (262 nucleotides) under Glomeraceae sp. Its description in RNAcentral is "partial contains 5.8S ribosomal RNA and internal transcribed spacer 2". The stretch from base 1 to 65 matches the Rfam family "5.8S ribosomal RNA", at positions 84 to 154 of the family's 154-position model. The record is from RNAcentral. Lineage: Eukaryota; Fungi; Glomeromycota; Glomeromycetes; Glomerales; Glomeraceae.
GUGAAUCAUCAAAUCUUUGAACGCAAAUUGCACUCUCCUCGGAGAGUAUGACUGUUUGAGGGUCAGCCUAUAAAAAAUCGACAUCGUUGCUGUUUCGCGGUGGCGUUCGUCGGAAAUUGGGUUAUCUUAAAUCCUUUUGGGUUUUAAGCGACUUAAAAUUUUGUUUUUGAUUCCAUGAACGUUUCUAAGAUUUAUUUCUUUACACUUUUAAGGUAUCGAUUUUUAUUAGACGUGACCAUCAUAUUGGAUUGCGUCCAGAAUU